AGUCUCAGGCCCCAAGCGGGUGGAACGCACCAAGGGUCUCAUCCGCGACGAAGGGCUUUAACGCUCAGGGUCAGGAACCUCUGAGAGCUCUUGGGGACUUGCGCGCCCUUGGAUGCUCUUGCGUUCAACAGGGCUAGGAGACUACCGGCUGGGGCGAGGAAUGCAGGCGCCUAGAGCCUUGGAGCUCCUGAAACGUUCCUGCCGCCUCCGGAAAGCAAGGGCAGUUUACCGAAGUGACUGAGGCCAAGUAUUUGCAGCACGGGCAGGGACCAGUAACUGAUUUUCAGGCCUUUUGAGAGGAAGAGGAAGAGAGAGGAAGAGAAGGAUUUCUAAUAGUAGAUAUUCACUGUCAUGGACUCUUUAGGAAACAGCAACAAAGACAAGAUUAAGAACACCACCAAGUUGUGUGACUAUCCACACAAAAAAGCAUCUUCAUAAGAACCAAAAAUCAGCUCCAGACAGCUCAGCACAGAGUGAGAGACUCUACUCAUCUGGGAGGAAGUAAGGAGAAAGAACAACAGUCUUUGCCUGGUAAUCCAGAUAAUUCUUCCGGACCUUAUCCAACACCACCAAGGUGGUACCUCUGUAAGCUUGCAAGAGCCACAGUAUUACUUGGUUUGGAGUUUCCCCUGUUGCAAAUGCAGCCGCAGUGAUCAAAAACUUGGAUUACAAUAUCCAAAUUUAUUAGAAUACCUGGAAAUCCUUUCCAAAAAGUACUACUACAAACAAGCCCAGAUGGUGAGAACUAUAUGAAACACUAACUCUUCAAUGCCCAGACACCAAUGAACUAGAUGGUCAAGUAUCAAGACCAUCUAGAAAAACAUGACCUCACCAAAUGAACUAAAUAAGACACCAGGAACCAAUGCUGCAGAGACAGAGAUAUGUGACCUUUCAGACAGGGAAUUCAGAAUACCUGCUUUGAGGAAAAUCAACAUAAUUCAAGAUAACAUAGAGAAGGAAUUCAGAAUUCUAUUGGAUAAAUUUAACAAAAUUUAAAAUAAUUAAAAAGAAUUAAGCAGAAAUUCUGAAGCUGAAAAGUGCAAUAGACAUACUGAAGAAUGUAUUACAGUCAUAAGAUAAUUGACGAAGCAGAAGAAAGAAUUAGUGAGCUUAAAGACAGGCUAUUUGAAAAUACACAAAGGAGACAGAAGAGUAAAAAAGAAUGAAGCAUGCCUACAAGAUCUAGAAAAUAACCUUAAAAGAGCAGACCUAAGAGUUGUUGACCUUAAAGAGAAGGUAGAGAGAGAGA
Gorilla gorilla gorilla (western lowland gorilla) is the source of this 1249-nucleotide long non-coding RNA. RefSeq lists it as uncharacterized. The record is from RefSeq and is a predicted model, not a curated record. The transcript is spliced from 4 exons. NCBI's taxonomy places the organism in Eukaryota, Metazoa, Chordata, Mammalia, Primates, Hominidae.